RNAcentral lists this ribosomal RNA (254 nucleotides) under uncultured bacterium. Its description in RNAcentral is "partial 16S ribosomal RNA". It matches the Rfam family "Bacterial small subunit ribosomal RNA", at positions 524 to 776 of the family's 1533-position model. The record is from RNAcentral.
UACGGGGGGAGCAAGCGUUGUUCGGAUUUACUGGGCGUAAAGGGCGCGUAGGCGGUCGUGACAAGUCACUUGUGAAAUCUCCGGGCUUAACUCGGAACGGUCAAGUGAUACUGUCGGACUAGAGUACAGAAGGGGCAACUGGAAUUCUCGGUGUAGCGGUGAAAUGCGCAGAUAUCAGGAGGAACACCGAUGGCGAAGGCAGGUCGCUGGGCCGAUACUGACGCUGAGGAGCGAAAGCGUGGGGAGCGAACAGG